This 456-nucleotide ribosomal RNA is filed under the name uncultured bacterium. Its description in RNAcentral is "bacterial SSU rRNA". It matches the Rfam family "Bacterial small subunit ribosomal RNA", at positions 923 to 1379 of the family's 1533-position model. The record is from RNAcentral.
GCACAAGCGGUGGAGCAUGUGGUUUAAUUCGACGCAACGCGAAGAACCUUACCUGGGCUCGAAAUGUACAGGAAUCCGGUGGAAACAUCGGCGCCCAGCAAUGGGCCUGUAUAUAGGUGCUGCAUGGCUGUCGUCAGCUCGUGUCGUGAGAUGUUGGGUUAAGUCCCGCAACGAGCGCAACCCUUACCCCCAGUUGCCAUCAUUCAGUUGGGCACUCUGGUGGAACCGCCUCGGAUAACGGGGAGGAAGGUGGGGAUGACGUCAAGUCCUCAUGGCCUUUAUGUCCAGGGCUACACACGUGCUACAAUGGCCGGUACAAACCGUCGCAAAGCCGCGAGGUGGAGCUAAUCGGAAAAAGCCGGCCUCAGUUCGGAUCGCAGUCUGCAACUCGACUGCGUGAAGCUGGAAUCGCUAGUAAUCGUGGAUCAGAAUGCCACGGUGAAUACGUUCCCGGGC